Molecule: ribosomal RNA, 1358 nt
Filed under: Heliothis subflexa
Lineage: Eukaryota; Metazoa; Arthropoda; Insecta; Lepidoptera; Noctuidae
Description: large subunit ribosomal RNA
Source: RNAcentral
GGGGAAAAAAUUAAUAAAUUAUUUAUAAUAAAAGAAUUUUUAAAUAAAAUAUUAUUUUAAGGGGGUUAAAGUAUAUUUAUUGAAAAAAUUAAUUUUUUUAUAGUUUAUUAGUAUUGUGAAAGAAUUUUGAAAUAGUUGAAAAUUUAAUUUAUUUAAAAGUAAUUUUAAUUUAUUGUAUCUUGUGUAUCAGAGUUUAUUAAAAAUUUUUAUUAGGUAAUAAUUUCUCGAAUUUAAAAGAGAUAAUUAAUUAUAAAAUUUAUUGUAGCAAAAAUAUUUUAAAUAAUUAAUUGGAAAUGAAAUGUUAAUCGUUUUUAAAGAUAUCUAGUUUUUUUAGAAAAAAAUUUAAUUUUAUAUUAUUAUAUGAAAUUAUUAAUUAAUUAAUAAUUUUAUAUAAUAAUUUUAUAUUUUAGGGGAUAAGCUUUAAAUUAAAUUUAUAUAAAUUAUAAUAAAAAAUUAUUGAAAAUUAUAUAAUUUAUAUUGUUAAUAAAUUUUAAUUUAUUAUAAAUAAUUUCAUUAAAAAUAAAAUUUAAUUUAAUUUUAUAUUUUUAUAAAAAAAAAAUUUUAAAUAAUAUAAAAUUUAAUAUAAUGAUAAAAUUAGUAUAUAAAUAAAAUAAUUAAUUUAAAUUAUUAUUUUUAUUUUAAUUAAUUAAAAGGAAUUCGGCAAAAAUAUAUAUUCACUUGUUUAUCAAAAACAUGUCUUUUUGUAAAUAAUAUAAAGUCUAAUCUGCCCACUGAUUUAAUUAUUAAAGGGCUGCAGUAUUUUGACUGUACAAAGGUAGCAUAAUCAUUAGUCAUUUAAUUGAUGACUUGUAUGAAAGAUUGGAUGAAAUAUAUACUGUCUCUUAAUUAUAAAUAUAUAAUUUAAUUUUUUAGUUAAAAAGCUAAGAUAAAUUAAAAAGACGAGAAGACCCUAUAGAGUUUUAUAAGUUAAAUUAUUAAGAUUAUUUAUAAAUUUAAUAAUUAAAAUAAUUUAAUUUAAUUUGUUGGGGUGACAAAAAAAUAGAAUUAACUUUUUUUAUGGUUGAACAUAAAUAAGUGGUAAUUUGAUCCAAUAUUAUUGAUUAUAAGAAAAAAUUACCUUAGGGAUAACAGCGUAAUUUUUUUUUUUAGUUCAUAUAAAAAAAAGAGUUUGCGACCUCGAUGUUGGAUUAAGAUAAAAUUUAAAUGCAGAAGUUUAAAAUUUUUGAUCUGUUCGAUCAUUAAAAUCUUACAUGAUCUGAGUUCAAACCGGUGUAAGCCAGGUUGGUUUCUAUCUUUUGAUAUUUAAAAUAUUUUAGUACGAAAGGAUUAAAUAUUUAAAUUAAAUUUAUUAUUAUUGAAUUUCAUUAAAAUUAAAUAAAAAAUUUAGAUAUAUGAUU